This 253-nucleotide ribosomal RNA is filed under the name uncultured bacterium. RNAcentral describes it as "partial 16S ribosomal RNA". It matches the Rfam family "Bacterial small subunit ribosomal RNA", at positions 524 to 776 of the family's 1533-position model. The record is from RNAcentral.
UACGUAGGUGGCAAGCGUUGUCCGGAUUUACUGGGCGUAAAGAGCGCGCAGGCGGUCGUUCAAGUCGCGUGUGAAAGCCCCCGGCUCAACUGGGGAGGGUCACGCGAUACUGAUCGACUGGAAGGCAGGAGAGGGUAGUGGAAUUCCCGGUGUAGUGGUGAAAUGCGUAGAUAUCGGGAGGAACACCAGUGGCGAAGGCGACUACCUGGCCUGUUCUUGACGCUCAGGCGCGAAAGCUAGGGGAGCAAACAGG